UACGGAGGGUGCAACCGUUGCUCGGAAUCAUUGGGCGUAAAGCGCACGUCGGCGGUGCAGUACGUCGGAUGUGAAAGCCCUCGGCUCAACCGAGGAAGUGCAUUCGAAACUGCUGUGCUUGAGUACGGAAGAGGGUCGCGGAAUUCCCGGUGUAGAGGUGAAAUUCGUAGAUAUCGGGAGGAACACCAGUGGCGAAGGCGGAGACCUGGGCCGAUACUGACGCUGAGGUGCGAAAGCUUGGGGAGCAAACAGG
RNAcentral lists this ribosomal RNA (253 nucleotides) under uncultured bacterium. RNAcentral's name for it is "partial 16S ribosomal RNA". It matches the Rfam family "Bacterial small subunit ribosomal RNA", at positions 524 to 776 of the family's 1533-position model. The record is from RNAcentral.